GUGAAAGAGCUAGUACCAGAGGUGGGAAUUAACUCCUUAGUAACAAAGAAUGAUGGGACAGUUAAUAAGGUGCUUGAAAGAAAACGUGUCCUCUCUCUUCGGAUUAAGAAAGAGGAGAUUCUAAUGAUCUAUCUAAUGUGCUGCUGUGUUGCUACACAAAUACCACCAUAAUUUGGAACCUUCUCUGAAUUCCCCUGACAUGAGGAAAAUUCAAUUUUGCUUCUCUUUCCAGCCACUUAAUCCAGAUUUUAUCCUGGAGAAGAGAAGAAAAUCUAACAAUGCUAGCCUGGAUUAUAUGAAACAUGUCCUGAAGUAACCGAAGUGAUCAUGUUAAAUCUCUUGUAGAGAAUCCAAAGCAUAGAACAGGGGCAGAAAAGAGCUGGUUCUCCCUUUGUCAUGGAUAUGGUCUGGGCCCUGGGUGGUACUUCCUGUCAGCAAAUGCACGUGAAGAGGAAGCCUGCGUGGGAGACUGACAUGGCAGAGUUUCAAAUGGAAAAUAAGAAAGCAAAAGAAAAUGGCCAUCUUCAUAAUCAUUUCUGUUUUCCAACAUUCAAGUUUCAUGAAACCUAGUUGCACAACAUGAAGACUGGAGAGAAAAGUCUCUAAUGCAUUGGAAAGCAAAAAAAUCACCAGGUUUCUUAAGGAAAAAUAAGAAGGGCAAAUUCUGAUACCAGAAAAAAACUGGAUUAUUGAAAGAGGACAGUAGAAAUAAUAGGCCUUCUGAAAGAAAAGUGAAACAACGACCUUGACAACAGCAGUUUCUGAAACGGACGCUGCAGUGACCUUGGGCGGCGCGGGAAGGACGCUUGGCGCCGGGCAGAGACAAGAUGGCGGAGCAGGCCGCAAGGCCAGGCCCAGCAGCUCCUUGGUACUGGGCUUCCGAGGCGGAAGACGGCUCCUCCGCGAGGUGAGUGUCCAGGGAACCUCACAGACACAUUAGAACACUGAAUUGAAAAACAAACAGAAUUCCUAGAGCUGCAGAGAGUCGUAACUAGAGCAUCAGAAAUAACAGCUCAGAGCGGCGCCAGCUGGGCCGCCAUGGCGGGAGCGGGAGCGCGGACCAGAGAGACGCGGGGCCCGUGGGUGAAGAAAAUGAAAAAUAGACAAAACCCGACACAGGGAGACCUGUGGAUUCCAGAAGAAGGCCGAUUUUAAUGAACGCAGAGUUAGUAGGGCAAGCCAUCUGCUGGGGUGAAAGCCUUGCGGGCGGCGGGCCUGAGCCCUCUGGAGGGCAGAGCGCUGGCAGGUGAGGAGCCGGUUCCAGGGGCAGAAGCUGCACAAGUGUGAACAGAGAGGGGAUGGGAGGGUGUGGGGUUGUG
This is a long non-coding RNA of Ictidomys tridecemlineatus (thirteen-lined ground squirrel), 1319 nucleotides long. RefSeq lists it as uncharacterized. NCBI's taxonomy places the organism in Eukaryota, Metazoa, Chordata, Mammalia, Rodentia, Sciuridae. The record is from RefSeq and is a predicted model, not a curated record.